AUUCUUUAAGAAUUUUUCAUCAAUAUGUUGUAUUUUUAAAUAAUUUCUUUAAAACCUGCUAUUUUUGGAAAGUUUUCAUUAUUUUUAGGUAAAUUUAAUAGAUUUAAGUUUGUGAUUCUUAAAACCUGCUAUUUUUGGAAAGUUUUCAUUUUUUGAAAAAUAAUGUGGAUUUGGGUUUGUGAUUUAGAAAUUAGGAUAACAAGAAUAUUUGUGGAUUGAUGAGUAUUCUUUCAGAUUUUUCAUGAAAAUGUUGUAUUUUAAAACAAUUUUCUUUAAAAUGCUUUUUUGGAAAGUUUUAAUUUAUUAGAGAAAUACUGUAGAUUUGAGUUCAUGAUUUAGAAAUUAGGAUAACAAGAAUAUUUGAGGAUAAAUGAGUAUUCUUUGAGAAUUUUUCAUCAGUAUGUUGUAAUUUCAAAUAAUUUUCUUAAAAGCUGCUAUUUUUGGAAAGUUUUUGUGGAUAAAUGAUUAUUCUUUCAGAAUUUUUCAUCAAUAUGUUGUACUUUUAAAUAAUUUCCUUAAAACCUACUAUUUUUGGAAAGUUUUCAUUUUUUAAAAAUAAUGUGGAUUUGGGUUUGUGAUUUAGAAAUUAGGAUAACAAGAAUAUUUGUGGAUAGAUGAGUAUUCUUUCAGAAUUUUUCAUCAAUAUUUUAUAUUUUUAAAUAAUUUCCUUAAAACCUGCUAUUUUUGGAAAGUUUUCAUUUUUUGAGAAAUAAUGUGGAUUUGGGUUUGUGAUUUAGAAAUUAGGAUAACAAGAAUAUUUGUGGAUAGAUGAGUAUUCUUUCAGAAUUUUUCAUCAAUAUGUUGUAUUUUUAAAUAAUUUUUUUAAGACCUGCUAUUUUUGGAAGGUUUUCAUUUUUUGAGAAAUAAUGUGGAUUUGGGUUUGUGAUUUAGAAAUUAGGAUAACAAGAAUAUUUGUGGAUAGAUGAGUAUUCUUUCAGAAUUUUUCAUCAAUAUGUUGUAUUUUUAAAUAAUUUUCUUAAAACCUGCUUUUUUUGGAAAGUUUUCAUUUUUUGAGAAAUAAUGUGGAUUUGGGUUUGUGAUUUAAAAAAUAGGAUAACAAGAAUAUUUGAGGAUAGAUGAGUAUUCUUUCAGAAUUUUUCAUCAAUAUGUUGUAUUUUUAAAUAAUUUUCUUAAAACCUGCUAUUUUUGGAAAGUUUUCAUUUUUUAGAGAAAUAAUGUGGAUUUGGGUUUGUGAUUUAGAAAUUAGGAUAACAAGAAUAUUUGUGGAUAGAUGAGUAUUCUUUCAUAAUUUUUCAUCAAUAUGUUGUAUUUUUCAAUAGUUUUCUUAAAACCUGCUAUUUUUGGAAAGUUUUUAUUUUUUGAGUAAUAAUGUGGAUUUGGGUUUAUGAUUUAGAAAUUAGAAUAACAAGAAUAUUUGUGGAUAGAUGAGUAUUCUUUCAGAAUUUUUCAUCAAUAUGUGUAUU
This 1424-nucleotide long non-coding RNA is filed under the name Brassica napus (rape). RNAcentral describes it as "long non-coding RNA (BNAP_LNC002211)". Lineage: Eukaryota; Viridiplantae; Streptophyta; Magnoliopsida; Brassicales; Brassicaceae. The record is from RNAcentral.